GUCAGGAAAAAGAGGAAUGAUUGCAUUAUGGGGGGGGGGGUCACAUAAUACCAUGCAGUGAUGGUUGCAUAUGAACUUUAAAGUUAGGAAAAAAAACAACAACAAGGACAUGAAAGCACUCGCUUAAUAAAACAUUUGGAAUGAAGUGCUGAUUUUUGACACGCCCCCCAAUUAGCUUUCUGAAGCAAGGCCAUCUUGGCUGUGACGUCACUGCCAGACUAUGUUCCGGUCCAGGAACCACAUUUAUUCCGUGUUGGUGUCGUUUAUACAGGGAAAAAAGGUGGGAAAAUGCCGGCAUAAGUCAGCAGUGUGAAAGGGGCGGGAGUAUGACAUUGGUGUGUGUGUGUGUGUGUGUGUGUGUGUGUGUGUGUGUGUGUGUGUGUGUGUGUGUGUGUGUGUGUGUGUGUGUGUGUGUGUGCGCAGAACAUUCCUGAAACAACAAAAUGCUGGAGGGAGGAGUGUGGGCAGGACUCUGGUUGUGUUUGGUCUGCACUUCUUGAAGUCCUAGCUCUCACAAGGUCACGCCGCUUGAAAGCCAUCAAGUGUCAUUUGUGACCCAAACGUUAGUCCGGGUGGUCCUUAAGACCCAGGCUCUUGUCUCUAGAUGUACAGUGAAUAAUUCAGCAGGACAACAUUUAGGCCUUGAAAAAAUGUGGGGAUGUGCUCAGGCAUAGCUGGUCUCUCCAGAGUUCUGGUUCUGCCUCUUAUUGAGGCCCAGAGGUGUUAGAAUGUAGCAGAACCUUCAUUCCAGAACCUUCUGACGGCCAUGAUGUGUUAAAUGGUGGCUGUCUUGGUGUGGAGAAAGUCCAGACUGGUUAUUAGUUUUCAUGAUUGUUCUUUGCUGUAUUUAGUCUUCAGCAACACAUCCUUUGACCCACUUUCUGGACUUCCUGUGGGAUGGUGCUUGUCCUCAGAAGGCCUGCACUUUUUGCACACAAGUGUUGGGACACGGCUCUUCAUCAAUCAGUGAUUGAAUGAAACUUACAACUCAGCGUCAUUAUUAGUUGUUGGUAAAUCUUCAUUCUUCAUCUUAGCAAGACAUUUUGGACAAUUCAAGAAGGUUUUCUGUUCCCCCGAGUGCACAAAGCCAGCUCCAUAAAGACAUACUUGCUUUGUCCGCUGCCAAGUCUUCUCCAUAAAAAUCCAUACAUCCUUCUUCCUGUGUUGUGGACCCUGCAGCAAGGUCACAGGUCACGCGCUGCUCCACAACAGCUGCUAGUGAUUCAGCUGAUUCCUCGCCUGAGGAAGGAUUGGCGGUCUUCUACAAGACGUACACGUUUCAUAUUUUCUGAACAUUUCCACAGCUUGGAGCUUUUUAUUUAUUCAAAGUUAUGCUAUGCUAGAUGUUAGCAAAACAGUAUGAGGACACAGUCGGCACUGUUGCUUGAGAAAUAAAAAAAAAAAGUCAAAUAUGAAAUGAUGGACGGAUAAACACUGAUGUUAUUGCUGUGUCAUACUGGUGGUGUUUCAAAGGGCAGCCAGAAGCCAAUCAGACGGAGAAGUCUGGCUUCAUUGCUGCUCUGAAUGUGGAAGUGGCAGCGUACGUGAAGUCCAACCUACCUUGGUGGUCCCAGCGUCAGUGAGUGAUGUGUGGAUGUUUUAUCCGUGGGAGUUAAGCAGGUGCUUGCUACUUGCUGAUGUCCAAGCAGAAGCUGUGCUAAUUCUACUUUUCACCAACUUUACCUAAAGAUUGGUCAGAUCAACCCACGUAGAGGUUGGGACUUCUAUUGCAUUUGGAUCAGUACCGGCGAUCACGGGUUCCGUUUCAUAACACACCUCAGGUUAACAUGGUUGAUAUGUUUAGCGAAUAAGGGUGCGCAUUUCAGUGUCGUGCAUUCAUUCAGUCAUCAACAAAGGUGAAGAAUCUGCCAAGCAGGUGAAUAGGAGAGAGCUCCACAUCGUACAAUGCACAUGUGAAAGCUGUAAAACCCCUCCACAAUACAACCCAGCCCCUGACCAACAGAGCCAAGAAAGCAGAGCUUGGACGCCUCCCUGCAUGGGUGUCCAAAGUGUGCCAUGGGGCCAUCUGUGGAACGUGGCUCAUUGCAGAAAUGAAAUAAAUAAAAAUCCAGCAAAAGUGGAAAAAUAGGCAUUAUGUAAGGAGAAAAAGCUAAAAUGUUGAUCCUAAUAAACACAAAGAUUUGUCUCUAAUGUAUGUACUUGUAUAUGUACUUGUUGUUGUCAUGAUGAGCCGGAUUCUUCUUCUUCUUCUUCUACAGAAUGUUAUCACAACAGUGGUUUAUUUGGUCUGAGGAACUUCCAAUGUUCUUCUUUGUGGGAGGUCCUGGAAGGACAGGUGACAGGGGACUUUGUAAGAUCAGAAAGGCUGAAAAUAAUCCAUCCAGUCAAAAAAUGUGGCAAGCUCACUCAUUGGCCGGUACUUCAUGCACGUAAUGAAGACAAGAAAAGGAAAUGAAUGAAUGAAUGAUAGCCAGCCAAGUAGAGGGUAGAACCAGGGCAGUGGCUGAUGGGGAGAGGGAGGAGCAACAGGUCGUGAAGUAAAAUGAAAAAUAUGAUGGAAAUGAGACGCACAGGAUGUGAUGUCAUCCACAUGCUGCUCACAGUCCCCUGGGGGCACGUUUACAUGCUUUACAUGGCAUGUGCUGUGAUGUUCUAGUCUUCCGUCAGCAGAUGUUUGUGCUUUGAGGACAUUUCUAUUUUGGGAAAAGCUCCAAAAAAAAAGUCAUGUUUAAUUUUUUGAUAAUUUUUUUGCAAGCAGGUUCAGGAGGGUGGUCCCCACAUGGGGCCAUUUUUCUUGCACUUUGUCCUCAUCAAUAGGAAAGUGACCAAGGAGGGGGGCAGCAACAAAGGCCCCAGAUGGGAGAAUGGAGGAGGGCACCGAGUGGUGGUGUUUAUCCGAGGCCAAUGAAAGAAAUCUUUACGCGACGUGGAGGAGACGGCACCGCAUGCUCCAACUUGGUCACCUUUUUAUCCUGUGUAACCCCGCUCUUGCUUUUUGCCUUGAUUUGUCUCCAUUUCUGCUGAAUGAGUGGAUGAGUGUGCCUUGCAUUGCCUCCCUCCUCCCUUGUCAUCCUGGGGGAACUCAGCCCCCUGGUGGAGGCCGCUAGAUGCCUGCAUUACAUCUGUCUGACGUUGACUCCACGUUUCCACCACUUUCACACCAGCAUGUGUCAUUGUGGUGCAUAUGCAGGAGUAUUUACUUCGUAUUUAGAGAUGGGGGAUGUGCAGGAGGGGUGUGUGUCUGUUAGGGUGUCACAAGAUCUCACCAGGUGAAAAAAAACCUCUUUAUCUUGCCCCAGUUGGGUUCCUUUUUUGUGACUGAACAGUCAUUUAUCACUUUGAUGCAGUGUAUGAACACAUUGGGUCUAAAAUCACACCAAAAGCAGUAAAAAUGUCUAACGUGUAAUGAACCCUUGUUAUAAGGUAGGAUGCAAACACAACAUGUCCCUCGUUUAUCACGGUCAAUUGGUUCCAGACCCCACCUUGAUGAGUGAAUUUCCACAAAGUCACAUGGUAGUUAGCCCACAUAAAACCUUCUAAAUACACUUUUUUAACAUGAUUAGAGCCCUCUAGACAUGAAAUAACACCCCUAUCGUCACCUUUACACCCCUAUUACCCAAUAUAGUAGACAUAAUAAGAGAAAAUAAGACAUAGAAAACCUAAUUACCAACUUCUAGAUACGCUUUUUAACAUGAUUAGAGCCCUCUAGACAUGAAAUAACACCCCUAUAGUCACCUUUACACCCCUAUUACCCAAUAUAGUAGACAUAAUAAGAGAAAAUAAGACAUAGAAAACCUAAUUACCAACUUCUAAAUACGCUUUUUAACAUGAUUAGAGCCCUCUAGACACGAAAUAACACCCCUAUAGUCACCUUUACACCCCUAUUGCCCAAUAUAGUAGACAUAAGAGAAAACAAUACAUAGAAGACAUAGAACACCUGUUUACCACCUUCUGAAUACACUUUUUAACAUGAUUAGAGCCCUCUAGACAUGAAAUAACACCCCUAUCGUCACCUUUACACCCCUAUUACCCAAUAUAGUAGACAUAAUAAGAGAAAAUAAGACAGACAACCUAAUUACCAACUUCUAAAUACGCUUUUUAACAUGAUUAGAGCCCUCUAGACAUGAAAUAACACCCCUAUAGUCACCUUUACACUCCUAGUACCCAAUAUAGUAGACAUAAGAGAAAACAAUACAUAGAAGACAUAGAACACCUGUUUACCACCUUCUGAAUACACUUUUUAGCAUGGUUAGAGCCCUCUAGACAUCAUAAGAGAAAAUAAGACAAACAAGAUGUGACAAGAUUAAAACGUGAGCUAGAGCUGGGACAGAUAGAUACGUUAUUCGUCUGCAAGAGAAUUAAUGAAUUCAUCUCACAGUAAAUGAAAAUGACUGACUGCUUUCAGAUGGGGGAGGGGCCUGUUGAGAAGAGCGAUAUGUGUUUUCAUGUCAGACGCUCCAAAAGUGUCCACACCAGAUUUGUCAUGAGUUGUUUUUUUAAGAAGAGCAUCUACAGCGGUCUGAUGACUUGCUACCCAGUUGCUAAGUUGGCAACACCCAUCCCUCCCUCCUACUACAUGUUCUUCCUCUCUGGCAGAGCAGAUGCUUUCUAUGAAGUGUUUAUCAGCAUGAAGAUGUCCUACCUCUUUAAGAAGUAGUCAUUAAUAAGUGCAAAGCAGCUUUGGGGGUGAUUGGGAGUGUCCAAACAGGUGUGGACACAUGCCGUGCCCCACCCUGUAGGGAAAAGUAUUCAUGGGACGUCCUGUAGGAGAGCCAACAAGAGAUGGCUUCCAGCUGUUGGCGUCCUGGUAGCGCACCUGUCCGUCUCUGCGUGCCGUUCCCCAAAUGACUGUGCUUCCAGGCAUACUGAACGUACCUCAAGUGGACCCCCGUCCCGUCCAGCACUGGUAUGUACGUACAUGUCAUGUGUCACGGGGGUUGACGGCGGGGCCUGUCGCAGGGUGUGGACGCAUGUCUGUCAUUGUGUCCUGUCAUGUGAUUGAUUGGGAAGGAGACACGCAUCAGCUGAAGAGAAGCCAAGGUGUGCACGCGGCUGCUGCUCAUUCAGGCUGCUUUCUUCUGUUCUCCCGAACGGGACAUCCCAAAACCUCUUGCCACGUUUGACAGGCGGCUUCCACAGGCGUCCCCUCCUGCAUGAAGCACCGCUCCCGCCCCGUCCAUGUCAAAAUAGCAGCAAGCGGGUGCAGGUUCAAUUGCCAUUCUCAACACACACAACACAUUUAGGCUCUCAAAGCUCUCAGAGCGCUCUUUGUCACAUUUGUCUGAUGGUGUAAAGAGAAUAAAAAUGUCUUACGUGAAUCAGGUGAUUGGAAUGACACCUACAUGGCCACAUGUUCCUUCCUGUUGAAGAUGUAGGAGCACUGCAGCCCGUUAGAAGAGUGAGCUACUUCUCAAUGACGGGACUAAAUGGGCCAAUGAUGGAUUGCAGCAAGAAGCAUUUUUAGUCAAAUAAGUGGAAAAGGCACAAAAACGCAAUUUGGGAAAAAAUCAAAGGGACUUCAUAGGGCCCUACGAGAGCUUAAAAGAAAAGUCUUAUUGUAAAUCACACCACAAAUGGAUCUAUAACCAUGUCACAUGAUUAGUCCUACCCGAAAAGUAUUUGGAACACCCAGUUUUUUUCCAAUUUGAUCUCUUUGGGUUUUUUCCAAAAGCCCAACAGUAUUGUUGGUCAUGCUUCGGAACACUAAAGUACACUCAGCAACACUUGGCUUGCUUGGAAGAGCUGCUGUAUUUCCAUAACCUCAUUCAAUUCACAGAUUCAUGUUUGUAACAAAGAUGAUGAUUAUUAUUAUCAAAACAAAUAAACAAACAAAACGAUCGCUACCGGAUCAGAUUGGCAAGACUAUGAAAAAAUGGGAUCAGAUCGGAAGCCAAGAAGUGUGGAUGGCGACAUCUCUAGUAGAAAACACGACAAGCAAAAGGAAUAUGUUGACCUGCAAAUGACCUUUCUUCUCUUGCUCCUUUUUCACAUUUUCAAGAAUGUCAUAAACAAGACUGAGCCACCUGUGAGUGCUUUUAGAGGAUGCAGCAGCUAUUUUAGUCUCCAAAAAUCCCGCAGAAAAUAACGCAGAAAGAAACGAGAUUAGCUUUGUCGCUAGUUGCUGUUUUGAAGGAGGCGCCUUCGAGGGCUCUGAAUGCUCGCUAACAGGAAAAACGUGUGUGGUGGGCAGUGGGCCCGGCAUGAUCAUAAAUAAAUAAAGAUAAUGAAUCCACAGUACAUGGAAAUGAAGUGGAUCAUCACUAUAUUGGCAUGUCUGGCAGGGAGGGUUCAUGCUGGGCAUUGCUUUCGUUUGUUCUGUAGAAUGACGUGAACGGAGUGAGUCUUUGUCUCGGUGGGUGGCGGCGGGGCUUCUAGCAUACACACAGAGUGCAGCAGAGCGUGAUGAUCGUAUUUCAUUGUUAAAAUAUGUUCAAAUAGAAGACCUGGCCUCGUGUCUUGUCUUGCUAAGCAUGGAGCUAAAGCUGCUAGCUUGGCAACACGGAUCCCUGCUGUUCCUUGGAUGAUGCACGUAUGACGUGCAUGAAGAGUUAUGAUGCCAUCUACUGGAGGAGGUUGUGAUGACGACUCAAGGCACACACGGUCCCAUUAGGAUGCGUUUAGGAGUCAGCUGAACCCCACGCAAUUGAACGCUGUCACAUGAGCUUACUGUGACUUGGUAGCCAACAUUUCCAGUCCUGUACGUGACCCCAAGCUAAGGUUGUUGGUCACAUGACUGCACGUAGCGCAGGUAGCACGCAUGAAGGAGGCCUUCCGUUCAUCUGUGAUGAAUGUUCUUUCAUGUUCGUGCUGAGUUACCACCUCAGGGUCAGUCAGCAGGCCGUGACGACAUUGUACUUUAGAAUCCUGAGCUGCUGUGUUGUUGUCAUGGCGACCGGGCACGCCACCGGCCCGAGGAAAGGUUUGUGUGGUCUCGUUUUGUUUUUUGUUUUAGCUUUGAUGGGUGGUGGGUGCGUGUGAACGAGGAGAGAGAGGGACGCUGUCAGGGGCACGUUCAGCAUCAGCGAGCUGUUUGGUAGCUGUUGACUUGAACGCAGCGUGUUGCCUUCAUGCAUCUACGUCAUCAUCUGGUCUGCCGUGUGUUCCCAGCACAGUAAUACUACAGUAGUACUUGUACUCACUGCACACUUCCUACACUGUACGUGCUUCGUGUUUGUUCAGUGAAAACCAAACACACAUGAUUGGAACGUGUGUGUGUAUGAAUCAUACCGUGUGUACAACUUUGUGUCCAUGAGAUUGUCGCCUUUUUGCCAUGGUGAGAAAAAAACACUUUUCAUUUUGACGUAUACUUUGGAUUAUUAUUAUUGUAUUCUAAUGUUCAUACUCUUAUUUUCCAUAAGCAGUACUUUGGCAAGGUGGUAACCUCCACGAAUACCUCAUCAUGUUCAUAAUACUCUACUUAUUUACACAAUAACUUCAUAUUACAAUAUUUACACUUGUUGCUGAACAAGAAUAAGAAAUGUUCCAAGUGCAAUCAUUGUUCACAAUCAUUCAUAGGAAAGGUCAGCAAGAAUGACCUUUAUGAAGGCUGUCAUCACGUCGUGUACCCAUGAAGUGGCCAGCGUGUGCAUGGGACGGGCGGGCAGGCUGCUCGUCAGUUAUUGACACCAUGGAUCAUAUGUCCUAUCAUAUGUAUAAGGAGUGGAAGAGAGUGGUUGGGGGUGUCCCACACGGACAUGGUGUGAUUACGCUACGCUAGAGGACACAUCACCCUGCUGGUCAAAGUCCAGGUGCUCUAUCCGGCUUAGAGCUGCUAACACGCACGCACGCACGCACGCACGCACGCACGCACGCACGCACGCACGCACGCACGCACGCACACGCGUGGGGCUGAGACGUAAGAAAAGCCACGAUGGAUUAUUCCUCUUUUCUUUGACAACGUGGAUCUUCAGCGUCUGUCCUCUUCCUCGCUCACCUUGCCGCCUACGUACCUGCCACCGCCGCCGCCCCUCACCCCCCCACCACCACCCACACCACCCCCACGGUCACCUGGAGCGGCCUAAGCGUCUGGCCCCCGGCCGGCUGCUGACUGGGCUGUGAGGGGGAGGGAUGAGCUCGGCGGCGUACAGACAGUUCCUCCAGGACUUGGAGGAGAAACGAGGUUGGUUCAAAUCCCAGCUAAGGAGGGCAGGCGUGUUUGAAGCGUAUGUUGUGAAAUGAGGAAGUGUGUGCACGUUGUGUCAGCUUGAGGCUUGGCCGUGUGAAAAGACGUCAUACCUGCUAUUCAGGACUCUUCUUUGAUGUCGGCGCACUGUUAUUAGCCGCUGAUGCUAACUCUUCAUGUUUGUGUUUCUACACACACACACACACACACACACACACACUUACUUGUCUGAUUGAGGUAGCGUUGGAGAACAUUGCUAAGUUGUUUGUGUUUCUCAACAGGGAAUAGAAAUGGUCUGUUCCAGGGUCAACCUGUGGUCAUCGUAAAACUUAAGAGUGCAAGCAUCACAUGUCGGGGUUUCCCACAGGGCUGCAAUCUACUUGUGGUGUGGGGGUGGGCGUACUUGUGGAAUGUGCAUAACUGGCCAAUGGCACGCUAGCAACAAGCGAGUAAAGCAGGUAGAUAUGUUCUUCAUCUCCAAGGGAAUGGUAACAAAUGGGAACCUUGAGUGUGACGGCGAGUGGUCUCACGUGUCGUACUGUCAUUGGACAUGUGCUCCACUGAUCCUUGAGGGCAUGAUGUCUGGGUGGAAAGACAAGGUGACAGUAGUUUGGUGCUUUGUGUGGUGGUUGACGCGGCAUCCUGAGUAUUCUAGCAGCGCAUCUCCUCUCCUCAGUCACCUUUUUCUUCUUCUUCUUCGUGUGUGGAGUGCAAACACUUGAUAGCAGUAGCGCAGCUGUUGGCUGCACAUGCUAACAGCUGCGCUACUCACUCUUCUCAUCACGGUGGUCUUCACCAAGUGCUUUUUGGGAGGCAAGUGAGAGCUUGACCUGCUGUACAACACAACAACUCAUUCAUAAGCUCUUCUUGGCUUUUUUGUGUGGGGAACAACUGCUACAUUACCUUUUUUCUUUUGCUCCUUCUUCUUUCUUCUUCUUGUCCCUCUCCUCCUUCUACACCUUCUUCUCCUUCUGUCUUUUUUCUUCAUCUUCUUUUCCUUCUCCUCCUCUUUUUUUCUUCUUCUUCUUUUUCUUCUCCUUCUUUGUCACCAUGUGAGAGCAUGACUGUGGUGUGUUUGUGUCCACGAGUGGCGUCUGUGCUCAUGUUUGUCUUUUGGGUUCAUGCACGGAAGGAUUAUGGAAAGGUUAAAAAAGCACAGGACUACAGUACACCGCAUACACGAUAGAAGGCUUACAAUCAAGUUGUGUGGCUUUCAAAAGAUGUCUUGACAGUGAGUCAUCUCCAUAUUUACUUUGAGCUUUUUAUUGUUGAAAUUGCGUGGUUUCCUGUGGACAUCAGCGUUUCCCUUUGUACCCUUGCCAAAACUGUGGUCCAUGUAGCAUGUUAGCAUAAGGUACCUGUGUAGAUGUGCGUAACAUUCAUGUUAGCAUAGGUGUUUGCCAUGUAGCAUGUUAGCAUAAGCUACCUGUGUAGGUGUGCGUGACAUUCAUGUUAGCAUAGGUGUUUGCCGUGUGGUCCAUGUGGCAUGUUAGCAUAAGGUACCUGUGUCGGUGUGCGUAACAUUCAUGUUAGCAUCGGUGUUUGCCGUGUGGUCCAUGUGGCAUGUUAGCAUAAGGUACCUGUGUCGGUGUGCGUAACAUUCAUGUUAGCAUAGGUGUUUGCCAUGUUGCAUGUUAGCAUAAGGUACCUGUGUAGGUGUGCGUAACAUUCAUGUUAGCAUAGGUGUUUGCCGUGUGGUCCAUGUGGCAUGUUAGCAUAAGGUACCUGUGUAGGUGUGCAUAACAUUCAUGUUAGCAUAGGUGUUUGCCAUGUAGCAUGUUAGCAUAAGGUACCUGUGUAGGUGUGCAUAACAGUCAUGUUAGCAUAGGUGUUUGCCGUGUUGCAUGUUAGCAUAAGGUACCUGUGUAGGUGUGCAUAACAGUCAUGUUAGCAUUGGUGUUUGCCAUGUUGCAUGUUAGCAUAAGGUACCUGUGUAGGUGUGCAUAACAGUCAUGUUAGCAUAGGUGUUUGCCAUGUUGCAUGUUAGCAUAAGGUACCUGUGUAGGUGUGCAUAACAGUCAUGUUAGCAUAGGUGUUUGCUAUGUUGCAUGUUAGCAUAAGGUACAUGUGUAGGUGUGCGUAACAUUCAUGUUAGCAUAGGUGUUUGCUGUGUGGUCCAUGUGGCAUGUUAGCAUAAGGUACCUGUGUCGGUGUGCGUAACAUUCAUGUUAGCAUAGGUGUUUGCCAUGUUGCAUGUUAGCAUAAGGUACCUGUGUAAGUGUGUGCAACAUUCAUGUUAGCAUAGGUGUUUGCCGUGUAGUCCAUGUGGCAUGUUAGCAUAAGGUACCUGUGUAGGUGUGCAUAACAGUCAUGUUAGCAUAGGUGUUUGCCAUGUUGCAUGUUAGCAUAAGGUACAUGUGUAGGUGUGCGUAACAUUCAUAUUAGCAUAGGUGUUUGCUGUGUGGUCCAUGUGGCAUGUUAGCAUAAGGUACCUGUGUAUAUGUGUGUGUAACAUUCAUGUUAGCAUAGGUAUUUGCCAUGUAGCAUGUUAGCAUAAGCUACCUGUAUAGGUGUGCGUAACAUUCAUGUUAGCAUAGGUGUUUGCCAUGUAGCAUGUUAGCAUAAGCUACCUGUGUAGGUGUGCGUAACAUUCAUGUUAGCAUAGGUGUUUGCCGUGUGGUCCAUGUGGCAUGUUAGCAUAAGGUACCUGUGUCGGUGUGCGUAACAGUCAUCAGGUAACAUUGAUGAAGUUUUGCUGCAUGUUAGUGCCGAUGUGUGCCAAACAAAUGAAUGUAUGGAAACGUGUGUGUAAGGAUAUCAGCGCGGGUGAGUCGUGUUGUUUGAGGUCCGAGUGGACCGCAGUGUCAGCCUGACACAAGAAGUCGGUGGCGUUGAGCGGCUCAAGCAAGUCAUAUGAGGGCUUUUUGGACUUUGUGGUUAAGCUAACAUUAGCGCCAUUGUCGCCUCCGCGUCAUUAAGUUUGUUUUUUUUGGCAAAAGGCAGUCAUGGGUUGAAUGUUGCUGGAUUAAGUCGGAUUGUGGGGAUAAAAGUAGAAGGCCGUGAACAGCGUGCAUUGUGUUUGCUAGACGUCCGACGUGAUUACGCCAACGGUGUCUGAGUGUACCCGUGGUGGGCGUGCGUGGCUCUGCUGCUCAUCGUGAUGGUUCCAGUGAGGUUGCAGGAUGAAACGCGCUGACGGCCGUGCUGCAUUGUUUGUUGUCACCUGGACUUUCCAAGCUGGCUGACCAGGUGACAUAAACGUCUGCAGGUCACCCCGGAUUACACUUCAGAAACCAUCACUUUUCUUUUCUGCUUGCAUCUUCAACUCAGCUUCAUUCAAACACAAACCAAACGUCUCCCUAAAAUAACCGCUGACACGGUCAGGAGUCAUUCUGAUCGCGCUUGAGGCUGCUUUUCCAUCACAUGCCCUCAAGUAAAUCACUCAUUCACAGGAUGGUCUGUUUCCUGUAAACAUCUUUUACUUUGCAUAGCAACGCUGCACAAACACAAUCUAGACGCCUGUGAAAGGGUGAUGGGUUUGUGUUGUUCUGAACAUUCAUUUCCCAGGAUACGAAUGUGAGAAAGGGUUUGUGUUGUUCUGAAUAUUCACUUCCCACUGUAUAUCUGCUGACCUUGCCUACCAGGUGCUUGUUAAAAAAUAGUAACUCUGCGUGCGAAUGCCUGAGUUUCGGGGCCGGCCACCCCGUUCUCACGCUCGCACGAACAGACUGGCAUAAAGAGGGGAGAGCGAAAACACCUAGACGGAGUCUGCUGCGGGUUGUGAUCGAACGCCCAGCCGAUUGACGCGAACUCUUCCACGGGUGUUGGCUCUCCACCCUGUUGGCGUAGGUAAGAGGCUUUUUCGCUGCAAUCAUAUAUCUUGUGUGUUGAUGCUUAAAUAAAUACGCCCUUGUUUAGGCUAAAAUACCUUGAUGUGUCUGUGUCAUUCUGUGUGCCGACUGAACACGAUCCUCUAAAAAAUAUUCUAAAACAUUUUUGGCGUUGUCGGCAGGAUCACGUUCAGCUGCAUGCAGAAUGGCUUUGUGCUGUAUAAGAAAAGUGAAGAAUACAGAUGUCCUCACCAUGGAGGAAGUGUCGUCAGGGUGGGUAGCCCCUGACGAGGUGAAAGGGAUAGGCGCCGUCUUACGACAACGCGGGGGACGCCCUGGGCCGUGGGCUGGCGAUAUCCCUGUAGCAAGCGCGGAGGCGCUGUUACGAAUGUUGAACAAGGUUGAAUAUAACGAGGAGGCACCCUUGAGGGGAACACAGGAGAGUUUGUGGAUCUGUGCAGAGGCAUGGAAGGAGCAUAAUCUAGCGGUGGCGAAGGCCAACGCUCAGACGGCGCAACAGACCAAGCAGCUGCAGGAUAAGGAAAAAGAGUUAAGGCGAAUGCAGUGCAUAUUGGAUAAGACCGUUAUGUGCCUGUCGCAAUUGAUUCGUGCCGCCCGAAAUUGUUCAUCCCGUAAAGUUGAUGCGAAGCAAGUUCGCUCCUUUGUGGCCGGGAUGAGUGAAGAUUGGGAUCCCGGGGGUUGGGAUGGGGACAUAUGGGGAGAUGACCCAGACGAGAGGCUGGGACCUCUCCCCGAUCCGCCCCCGGUUCGAAGUAUUUAUCCAUCAUUAAAGCAAUUUAAGAAAAUGCAACCUGUUACACGACGACAUCAGGUGCAAGGCAUAGCAGAUAUGAGGCAGAUGGUGGACGCACAGGGGCAGCCUGUGAUAGGAGAACACGGGCGGCCUGUGAUGGAGCCUGUGCUUGAGGUGCAGGAACAGCGGUUGAUUAAGGAGGACUUUACACAAGAUGAGGUGACUCUGAUUUUGUCGAGAUAUAAACAAAGGGAAGAAGAGGCGAGUUAAGUUUGAGGAGGAGGAUGAAUAGGAUGAAGGCCAAGCCCAAGUCCUUAAGACUACCUGGUCCGCCACGGAUAUACGGCCUCAUGUAGAAUUAGAAAUUUAUUGGAAGAAAUCUGUACAAAAGGUAACAGCGUUGGUGGACACGGGCUGAGGCCUCGUUGAUUAGUGGAAAUCCGGACAAAAUUAAAGGAAAAAUCGUGCCCCUAACGGGAAUUGGGGGACAAGUAGUGUAAAAGUAUAACACUACCACCAAAAAUCGGACAAACGCCCAUUAAAAAGUAUACCGUUGUAGUCACUCCCAUAAAGGAGUGGAUAGUGGGAAUGGACAUUUUGACAGGAAUGACUUUGCAUUUAAGACACGGGAAGUUUAUGUUUGGAGAUCUUAGGAAAAUAAAGUCUGUUUUGGUGGGAAAAGUGCACAUGGCACCAUUCCCCAUACCUGAAGCGACAACGUUAAUCUCCAUGAAACAAUAUAGAAUCCGUGGGGGUCAGGAGGAGAUUACUAAAACAAUAAAAGAUAAGGAGAAAUUGGGGUAAUUUGUAGAUUAUGGGGGGAACAACCCGUGGUUGUACAAAAGGAUGACAAAAUUGCACAGUUAAUAAUUAAACCAUGCAAUAUGACCCCAGUACAGGAGAUUACU
Molecule: long non-coding RNA, 13515 nt
Organism: Dunckerocampus dactyliophorus (ringed pipefish)
Lineage: Eukaryota; Metazoa; Chordata; Actinopteri; Syngnathiformes; Syngnathidae
Exons: 2
Source: RefSeq, a predicted model, not a curated record